GAUUCCUUAACUUAAUAGGUUAAAGUAUACUUUUAAGAGUAGGAUUAGCGUUCAAUUCGCUAAGGAAUCA
This 70-nucleotide transfer RNA is filed under the name Trichophyton mentagrophytes. Its description in RNAcentral is "tRNA-Ile". Lineage: Eukaryota; Fungi; Ascomycota; Eurotiomycetes; Onygenales; Arthrodermataceae. The record is from RNAcentral.